This 711-nucleotide long non-coding RNA is filed under the name Malus domestica (apple). RNAcentral's name for it is "long non-coding RNA (MDOM_LNC009409)". The record is from RNAcentral. Lineage: Eukaryota; Viridiplantae; Streptophyta; Magnoliopsida; Rosales; Rosaceae.
UGUUGACAUAAGGAAGGCAAAAUAGUAAUUUUGUACCUUUUGACAAAAUGACAACCAUAUUCCUUAUUUUCCUAUUUUACCCUCUUUUUUUUUGAGAUAAUGGCAAUCAUAUUUUUCAAUUUUACUCUCACUUUUGAUACACAAUAUUUACAUAAGGAAGACAAAACAAUAAUUAUGUAAUAUUAAAAAAAAUACACUUAUUAAGAGAAAUUGUUCACAUACACACACAACGUGUGUGCUCUCUGCUAGUAUAUAUUUAUAAAAACUGCACAAUAAAUUUCUGGAAUGCCAAUAACAACAACCUAUACAAUAUUAAUGCUCACACUAAUGUAUUAUAGUAGAAUGUAAUAUGAGUUAUGUAUUUAAACAAAGGAUUAUUAAGGAAAACUAAAGAAAAUUGUUUUAAAACUUUGAAUUUUAACCAAAAACUAUCUAAUAACUUUAUUUAAUAAUAAUGACAAAAGAAAGAAAAUAAAAAAUGACCAACAAAAAAAAAACCUAACCCAAAGCGCACGCCAACCAAUUCAAGUCUGUUUUAUUUUAUUCAUUUGAAAAAUUAAUGAGUCAGACGAAGCUGACCAUUAGUUUUUGCAGUGCACUCUGUUUACCACUAUAUUUCUUUUUCCCUUACUGAAACCAUAUGUCACUGUUUGAACCCAAAAUUACACCAUCGGCCCGAGUAAUCGAGACCGUUAAGUAAGCAUACCUCCA